GAUGAACGCUGGCGGCGUGCCUAAUACAUGCAAGUCGAGCGAACGGACGAGAAGCUUGCUUUUCUGAUGUUAGCGGCGGACGGGUGAGUAACACGUGGAUAACCUACCUGUAAGACUGGGAUAACUUCGGGAAACCGGAGCUAAUACCGGAUAAUAUUUUGAACCGCAUGGUUCAAAAGUGAAAGACGGUCUUGCUGUCACUUAUAGAUGGAUCCGCGCUGCAUUAGCUAGUUGGUAAGGUAACGGCUUACCAAGGCAACGAUGCAUAGCCGACCUGAGAGGGUGAUCGGCCACACUGGAACUGAGACACGGUCCAGACUCCUACGGGAGGCAGCAGUAGGGAAUCUUCCGCAAUGGGCGAAAGCCUGACGGAGCAACGCCGCGUGAGUGAUGAAGAUCUUCGGAUCGUAAAACUCUGUUAUUAGGGAAGAACAUAUGUGUAAGUAACUGUGCACAUCUUGACGGUACCUAAUCAGAAAGCCACGGCUAACUACGUG
RNAcentral lists this ribosomal RNA (497 nucleotides) under uncultured bacterium. RNAcentral describes it as "partial 16S ribosomal RNA". It matches the Rfam family "Bacterial small subunit ribosomal RNA", at positions 28 to 507 of the family's 1533-position model. The record is from RNAcentral.